GGUAAAGAAAGGGGUUGAACCAAUCUGGGUAAGUUUACAGCUUACCGCCUAUCGCUCGGCCACUUUACC
This 69-nucleotide transfer RNA is filed under the name Anolis chrysolepis (goldenscale Anole). Its description in RNAcentral is "tRNA-Tyr". The record is from RNAcentral. Lineage: Eukaryota; Metazoa; Chordata; Lepidosauria; Squamata; Anolidae.